AGAUAGAGCUACUGGCUAAAAUGCUUUUUAUACGGCGCAUCUCCGAUGAAAUUUGUGGGAUUUGGAUACAACUCUGGAGUUUGACAAUUCCAUCAGCUGGGCCGAGGUUGAAUUUAGAAGGUUAGCCCACUUGCCCAAUAAGAACGAAAUCAACGAUACAACCCUGUGGCGAUGAUGGCGCGUAUUUCCUCUAGACCGUCAAAUUGCUGGACACUUCUUAAUUGACAUUUUAGUUUUUAUUUUCAUUAUCAUGUGUAGCAGCCACAAGAUCAAAAGAUUUAUGAUUAUAAACGUUUAAAUUAUAAAUUAAAACAAUUAAAAUGUGA
Stomoxys calcitrans (stable fly) is the source of this 326-nucleotide long non-coding RNA. RefSeq lists it as uncharacterized. The transcript is spliced from 2 exons. The record is from RefSeq and is a predicted model, not a curated record. Lineage: Eukaryota; Metazoa; Arthropoda; Insecta; Diptera; Muscidae.